Molecule: ribosomal RNA, 474 nt
Filed under: uncultured bacterium
Lineage: Bacteria
Description: bacterial SSU rRNA
Rfam family: Bacterial small subunit ribosomal RNA
Source: RNAcentral
ACUCCUACGGGAGGCAGCGAGUAGGGAAUCUUCCACAAUGGACGAAAGUCUGAUGGAGCAACGCCGCGUGAGUGAAGAAGGGUUUCGGCUCGUAAAACUCUGUUGUUAAAGAAGAACAUAUCUGAGAGUAACUGUUCAGGUAUUGACGGUAUUUAACCAGAAAGCCACGGCUAACUACGUGCCAGCAGCCGCGGUAAUACGUAGGUGGCAAGCGUUGUCCGGAUUUAUUGGGGCGUAAAGCGAGCGCAGGCGGUUUUUAAGUCUGAUGUGAAAGCCUUCGGCUCAACCGAAGAAGUGCAUCGGAAACUGGGAAACUUGAGUGCAGAAGAGGACAGUGGAACUCCAUGUGUAGCGGUGAAAUGCGUAGAUAUAUGGAAGAACACCAGUGGCGAAGGCGGCUGUCUGGUCUGUAACUGACGCUGAGGCUCGAAAGUAUGGGUAGCAAACAGGAUUAGAUACCCUGGUAGGAUAGCG